ACCAGCCUGAGCAACAUGGAGAAAGCCCAUCUCUACAAAAAAAUACAAAAAAAAAAAUUAGCUGGGCAUGGUAGCAGAGGCCUGUAGUCCCAGUUACUCUGGAAGCUGAAGUAGGAGAAUCACCUGAGCCCAGAAAGUCAAUACUGCAGUGAGCCCAGAUCAUGCCACUGCACUCCAGCCUGUGCAACACGCGUGAGACCCUGUCUCCAAAAUAAAUAAAUUAAUUAAUUAAAAAAUAAAAAACUUAGUUGUCAACCUUAGGUUACCAAUUUUUGCUAUGAGAAUGGCUGAAGCUACACAACCACAAUUUUGAUCAAACCAACUGACCUUUCUGAUAGUGUCCAUAGCAAAGCUACAAAGUCUUGGUGUUUCUUGGAAUGAUGUGGUAUAGCAGGCCUUAUGGAUCAACUGAAGGAAAGCUAAGUUCAGUGUGAUAUUUGAAACCGUUCUCUCUUUGUGCAUCUUGGCACUGCCUAUGUUUUUUCAUUUUAUUGUUGCUGCUGUUUUUAAAUCCGUGUUUCUAUACUGUCUUUUCCUGCAAUUAAGAUUAAGGUAGCCAGGCGG
This 564-nucleotide long non-coding RNA is filed under the name Homo sapiens (human). RNAcentral describes it as "HSALNT0080892". Lineage: Eukaryota; Metazoa; Chordata; Mammalia; Primates; Hominidae. The record is from RNAcentral.